CAGAGCAUCCUACGGGAGGCAGCAGUGGGGAAUAUUGCACAAUGGGCGCAAGCCUGAUGCAGCCAUGCCGCGUGUAUGAAGAAGGCCUUCGGGUUGUAAAGUACUUUCAGCAGUGAGGAAGUGGGUAUGUUAAUAGCAUAUUCAUUUGACGUUAGCUGCAGAAGAAGCACCGGCUAACUCCGUGCCAGCAGCCGCGGUAAUACGGAGGGUGCGAGCGUUAAUCGGAAUUACUGGGCGUAAAGCGCAUGCAGGUGGUUUGUUAAGUCAGAUGUGAAAGCCCGGGGCUCAACCUCGGAAUUGCAUUUGAAACUGGCAAACUAGAGUACUGUAGAGGGGGUAGAAUUUCAGGUGUAGCGGUGAAAUGCGUAGAGAUCUGAAGGAAUACCGGUGGCGAAGGCGGCCCCCUGGACAGAUACUGACACUCAGAUGCGAAAGCGUGGGGAGCAAACAGGAUUAGAUACCCUGGUAG
RNAcentral lists this ribosomal RNA (469 nucleotides) under uncultured bacterium. RNAcentral describes it as "bacterial SSU rRNA". It matches the Rfam family "Bacterial small subunit ribosomal RNA", at positions 330 to 793 of the family's 1533-position model. The record is from RNAcentral.